AUUGAACGCUGGCGGCAGGCUUAACACAUGCAAGUCGAGCGGGGUGAUGGUGCUUGCACUAUCACUUAGCGGCGGACGGGUGAGUAAUGCUUAGGAAUCUGCCUAUUAGUGGGGGACAACAUCUCGAAAGGGAGGCUAAUACCGCAUACGUCCUACGGGAGAAAGCAGGGGAUCACUUGUGACCUUGCGCUAAUAGAUGAGCCUAAGUCGGAUUAGCUAGUUGGUUGGGUAAAGGCCUACCAAGGCGACGAUCUGUAGCGGGUCUGAGAGGAUGAUCCGCCACACUGGGACUGAGACACGGCCCAGACUCCUACGGGAGGCAGCAGUGGGGAAUAUUGGACAAUGGGGGGAACCCUGAUCCAGCCAUGCCGCGUGUGUGAAGAAGGCCUUAUGGUUGUAAAGCACUUUAAGCGAGGAGGAGGCUCUUUUGGUUAAUACCCAAGAUGAGUGGACGUUACUCGCAGAAUAAGCACCGGCUAACUCUGUGCCAGCCGCCGCAGUAA
RNAcentral lists this ribosomal RNA (503 nucleotides) under uncultured bacterium. RNAcentral describes it as "partial 16S ribosomal RNA". It matches the Rfam family "Bacterial small subunit ribosomal RNA", at positions 30 to 523 of the family's 1533-position model. The record is from RNAcentral.